Molecule: unclassified non-coding RNA, 357 nt
Filed under: soil metagenome
Description: partial contains 5.8S ribosomal RNA, internal transcribed spacer 2, and large subunit ribosomal RNA
Rfam family: 5.8S ribosomal RNA (bases 1-120)
Source: RNAcentral
GAUGAAGAACGUAGCGAAAUGCGAUAAGUAAUGUGAAUUGCAGAAUUCAGUGAAUCAUCGAAUCUUUGAACGCACAUUGCGCCCGUCAGUAUUCUGGCGGGCAUGCCUGUUCGAGCGUCAUUACGCCCCUCAAGUCCCCUGUGGACUUGGUGUUGGGGAUCGGCGAGGCUGGUUUUCCAGCACAGCCGUCCCUUAAAUUAAUUGGCGGUCUCGCCGUGGCCCUCCUCUGCGCAGUAGUAAAACACUCGCAACAGGAGCCCGGCGCGGUCCACUGCCGUAAAACCCCCCAACUUUUUAUAGUUGACCUCGAAUCAGGUAGGACUACCCGCUGAACUUAAGCAUAUCAAUAAGCGGAGG